RNAcentral lists this ribosomal RNA (301 nucleotides) under uncultured bacterium. RNAcentral describes it as "bacterial SSU rRNA". It matches the Rfam family "Bacterial small subunit ribosomal RNA", at positions 30 to 332 of the family's 1533-position model. The record is from RNAcentral.
AUUGAACGCUGGCGGCAUGCCUUACACAUGCAAGUCGAACGGUAACGCGGGGCAACCUGGCGACGAGUGGCGAACGGGUGAGUAAUGCAUCGGAACGUGCCCAUUAGUGGGGGAGUAGCCCGGCGAAGACCGGAUUAAUACCGCAUACGACCUACGGGUGGAAGACAGGGAGUCGCAAGACCUUGCGCUAUUGGAGCGGCCGAUGUCAGAUUAGGUUGUUGGUGGGGUAAAGACCACCAAGCCGACGAUCUGUAGCUGGUCUGAGAGGACGACCAGCCACACUGGGACUGAGACACGGCCC